AGCGGCGAACGGGUGAGUAACACGUGGGUGAUCUGCCCUGCACUUCGGGAUAAGCCUGGGAAACUGGGUCUAAUACCGGAUAUGACCUUCGGCUGCAUGGCUGAGGGUGGAAAGGUUUACUGGUGCAGGAUGGGCCCGCGGCCUAUCAGCUUGUUGGUGGGGUAAUGGCCUACCAAGGCGACGACGGGUAGCCGACCUGAGAGGGUGACCGGCCACACUGGGACUGAGACACGGCCCAGACUCCUACGGGAGGCAGCAGUGGGGAAUAUUGCACAAUGGGCGAAAGCCUGAUGCAGCGACGCCGCGUGAGGGAUGACGGCCUUCGGGUUGUAAACCUCUUUCAGCAGGGACGAAGCGAAAGUGACGGUACCUGCAGAAGAAGCACCGGCUAACUACGUGCCAGCAGCCGCGGUAAUACGUAGGGUGCAAGCGUUGUCCGGAAUUACUGGGCGUAAAGAGUUCGUAGGCGGUUUGUCGCGUCGUUUGUGAAAACUCACAGCUCAACUGUGAGCCUGCAGGCGAUACGGGCAGACUUGAGUACUGCAGGGGAGACUGGAAUUCCUGGUGUAGCGGUGAAAUGCGCAGAUAUCAGGAGGAACACCGGUGGCGAAGGCGGGUCUCUGGGCAGUAACUGACGCUGAGGAACGAAAGCGUGGGUAGCAAACAGGAUUAGAUACCCUGGUAGUCCACGCCGUAAACGGUGGGCGCUAGGUGU
Molecule: ribosomal RNA, 715 nt
Filed under: Rhodococcus jostii
Lineage: Bacteria; Bacillati; Actinomycetota; Actinomycetes; Mycobacteriales; Nocardiaceae
Description: bacterial SSU rRNA
Rfam family: Bacterial small subunit ribosomal RNA
Source: RNAcentral